This 466-nucleotide ribosomal RNA is filed under the name uncultured bacterium. Its description in RNAcentral is "bacterial SSU rRNA". It matches the Rfam family "Bacterial small subunit ribosomal RNA", at positions 28 to 507 of the family's 1533-position model. The record is from RNAcentral.
GACGAACGCUGGCGGCGCGCCUAACACAUGCAAGUCGAACGAGCGAGAGAGAGCUUGCUUUCUCGAGCGAGUGGCGAACGGGUGAGUAACGCGUGAGGAACCUGCCUUUCAGAGGGGGACGAACAGUUGGAAACGACUGCUAAUACCGCAUAAGCGCACGGUAUCGCAUGAUACAGUGUGAAAACUACCGGUGGUAUAAGAUGGACCCGCGUCUGAUUAGCUAGUUGGUGAGGUAACGGCCCACCAAGGCGACGAUCAGUAGCCGGCCUGAGAGGGUGAACGGCCACAUUGGGACUGAGACACGGCCCAAACUCCUACGGGAGGCAGCAGUGGGGAAUAUUGCACAAUGGGGGAAACCCGUGAUGCAGCGACGCCGCGUGAGUGAUGAAGUAUUUCGGUAUGUAAAACUCUAUCAGCAGGGAAGAUAAUGACGGUACCUGACUAAGAAGCACCGGCUAAAUACGUG